AUGCCGUUGCGUGAUACUUCUGUAAUGGUCAGGUUUGUGACCAACACGACUAAAGAGUUCAAGCAAGACUUGUUGGAAAGCUUGAGAAAAUUAGGGUUUGAUAUCUCUGAAGAUGAGAUAGUCACAUCUCUGACUUCAGCCAGAGGUUUAGGAGAACAGAAACACGUCAGACCUGUGCUGCUAGUUGAUGAUUGGGCACUACCUGAUUUCAAAGGAAUACAAACCAGUGAUCCUAACGCUGUGGUCAUAGGAUUGGCUCCAGAACACUUUCAUUAUCAAAUUGUGAAGCAAGCAUUCCGGUUGCUCCUGGAUGGGGCACCUCUGAUAGCAAUCCACGAAGCUGAGUAUUACAAGAGGAAGACGGCUUAGCCCUGGGGCCUGGACCACUUGUCACUAUGUUAGAGUAUGCCACAGACACCAAAGCCACAGUGGAGGGAAAGCCAGAGAGAACAUUCUUUCUGGAAGGAUUGCGGGGAACUGGCUGUGAACCUGAGGAGACUGUCAUGGUAGGAGAUGAUUGCAGGGCCAAUGUUGGUGGAGCUCUGAAUGUUGGCAUGCCGGGUAUCUUAGAAAAAACUGGGAAAUACCGAGCAGCAGGUAAAGAAAAAAUUAAUCCAUCUCCUUACUUAACUGGUGAGAGCUUUCCUCAUGCUGUGGACCACAUUCUGCAGCAUCUGCUGUCACCCACCAUGUGCAUCUGAAACAACUUGUAACGCAGCUUUUUGUUGUCCCCAGUGAAUCCCUUACUAACUCAAUGCCAGCAUUGACAGACACAUACCACUCAAUGGUGAUCAUGUUUUAAGCCUCUUUUAUUGUGCAUUAAUUAGAAAGAAAGGUAUUGAAUUGCAGCCAGCAACUAAGCCUCACUAAUCCCUUUUGUUUUAUUUUGUGACUGAAGAUUAACUGAGGCCCAAAGAAAGGGAAAGCUGAGGUUUUGUGCCAUUUCUUUUAAAAUAUUCAUCAGGUUAGGCAGGCCUCAGAGGCAGAAGCAACUGCAGGGGAGAGUGUUCUCUGCUAUCUCCUCACUGGAAAACAGGGGGCAAGGGAGGAAUUCAGACUGUGAAUAAAGCUGAAUGGUGGUUUUUACAUGAUAAAGUAAUGCAUUAAAAGGUGCAUUGGGCUACAGUUUUAAUAUGGAGUUCAACUGUGAGAUCCAUCAGAAGUGGCAAGCAGAGUAUAAGAGAUAAGCAGCAAAGCCAGUUGUCCUUUAGCCCAAGUGAGACAGUGAAUUUGCAUCAACAGAUGUUGAAAACUAGAUUUUCUACUGUAUUCCCAGCACGGGUCACUUCUUUUCUCCUCAUUAGCCAGAGAGGACUAAUUUAAAUUUAGAACCUGGUUUUCAUUUACAAUAAUAUUUCCAUUAAUAACCUAUUCGUUGCCGAUAUCUAUUAUAGUGUGUAACAGUUGUUUUGGAAAUUUUAUGUAAAAUUAAAACUAUCCGGUAUUUUACAGAUGUUUUAAUUAGACAUUGCUAUUAACAGGAACAGUGCAGAAGCUAAAAUCAAGCCUUCAGUGUCUUACAGAGCGUGUAUUUUUUUAAGCUAGUGUCCACCAGGGUCCUAUUAACUGUACAUUUGCAAGAUUUUGUAAUUUUUGCCUCUGACAUUGUGGGAAAAAUCUUUGAGAAGCUGUUGGGACAGAUUCAAGUUUUUAUGUAUUUGGUUACUACAGCUGUAAAAUGAAAUCUCGCCUUGUAGCGUGGAUAAUUUUUCUCAUGUUAAACCCACCAAAAUGAAGGAGACUAAGUAGGUGAUGAU
Lemur catta (Ring-tailed lemur) is the source of this 1757-nucleotide RNA transcript. It is a transcript of the gene named haloacid dehalogenase-like hydrolase domain-containing protein 2, with no coding region annotated. The transcript is spliced from 3 exons. The record is from RefSeq and is a predicted model, not a curated record. NCBI's taxonomy places the organism in Eukaryota, Metazoa, Chordata, Mammalia, Primates, Lemuridae.